This is a long non-coding RNA of Uranotaenia lowii, 640 nucleotides long. RefSeq lists it as uncharacterized. NCBI's taxonomy places the organism in Eukaryota, Metazoa, Arthropoda, Insecta, Diptera, Culicidae. The record is from RefSeq and is a predicted model, not a curated record. The transcript is spliced from 4 exons.
AAAUACAGAGUCAUGAUAAUUUUACUAUAUCCAUCAUUUAGUAUUUUCAACCAUGAUUUAGUAUUUUUUACCGAAAAUCUGGGCGAUAAUACUACGACAUAGUAUUUUUACUAUGCGAACUUUGACAGCUCAUAGUAAUUUUCUCGUGUCUUAAUUACCAUGCGCAUGAUAUUUUGAUAUUACACAAUUCGUGUUCUUGAAAUUACUAUGCCCAUGAUAAUGUUGAAACACCGUCAUCUGUGUUGUCAAAAAUACUAUGCGCAUUAUAAUUCAUAGUAAUUUUACUAUAUGUGCUUCGUUCGAGUGUUUGUUUUUUGACGGGUCAGCCGUUCGCAAUUUCGGAACGCGAACAAAAAUUAUCGGAUUGUCGGGAAAUGAUGAUCGGGAAAUGUAUUCCCUCAGAUUUCCCAGAUUGUGUCGUCGACCAGCUGGAAGGGGCCUCAACGAGCCUUUGAACCAACACACCCGGAGCGGGACAGCAGAUCAGUCAGGUCGGAAAUUUUUCAGUGUCGGCGAAUGCGCUAGAGUUCCUCAACCUCCCGAGAUUGGACAACGUCGGAGGACAUUGUGACGAAAGCUGCUAACCGACGCUAAGUGUGAUGCAACCCCUGUGCCCCAUUCGUGGGUGGUGCUACCACCA